AGAGUUUGAUCCUGGCUCAGGAUGAACUUUAGCGGCAGGCUUAACACAUGCAAGUCGCGGGGCAGCGCGGGUAGCAAUACCUGGCGGCGACCGGCGGAAGGGUGCGUAACGCGUGAGCAACAUGCCCGUAUCAGGGGGAUAACCGAUGGAAACGUCGCCUAAUACCCCAUAACAACAUUCCUCGCAUGGGGAGUGUUUGAAAGUUACGGCGGAUACGGAUUGGCUCGCGUGACAUUAGCUGGUUGGCGGGGUAACGGCCCACCAAGGCAACGAUGUCUAGGGGUUCUGAGAGGAAGGUCCCCCACACUGGAACUGAGACACGGUCCAGACUCCUACGGGAGGCAGCAGUGAGGAAUAUUGGUCAAUGGACGCAAGUCUGAACCAGCCAUGCCGCGUGCAGGAAUGAGGCCCUAUGGGUCGUAAACUGCUUUUGCUGCGGAGCAAUAAAUGCCACGUGUGACACGAUGAGAGUACGCAGCGAAUAAGCAUCGGCUAACUCCGUGCCAGCAGCCGCGGUAAUACGGAGGAUGCGAGCGUUAUCCGGAUUUAUUGGGUUUAAAGGGUGCGUAGGCUGUUCGUCAAGUCAGUGGUGAAAUGCCGGGGCUCAACCCCGGAGCUGCCAUUGAUACUGUCGGGCUUGAAUCCUGCUGCCGUGGGAGGAAUGAGUAGUGUAGCGGUGAAAUGCAUAGAUAUUACUCAGAACACCGAUUGCGAAGGCAUCUCACGAAACAGGCAUUGACGCUGAGGCACGAAAGCGUGGGGGUCAAACAGGAUUAGAUACCCUGGUAGUCCACGCAGUAAACGA
This 805-nucleotide ribosomal RNA is filed under the name uncultured bacterium. RNAcentral's name for it is "bacterial SSU rRNA". It matches the Rfam family "Bacterial small subunit ribosomal RNA", at positions 8 to 809 of the family's 1533-position model. The record is from RNAcentral.